AAAUGUGGAUGACACUCCCUACCAUGAACACAAAACAUUUUUGAACAAAUGACUCAUGAACAAAUAAAUAAGAAUAUAUAGGAUGCAGACACAUAGAAGCAAGAAAAUUCAAGCUGUGUGCUUCUGACACACCUGAGUCAAAAGGAUGGAGCAGAGUUUUCUCCCUAGAGCUGAGUAUGCUUCAUGAAUGGGACUAGGAAUUUCUACUGGCAAAGCCAUCAAAGUGUCCCUCUCUUCCUCCUCCACUGCCAGGGCCCAGGACUCACAGGGAGAGGCCCCAGGAAGUGCUUCUCUUAGCACCUGGUCUCACUGCUCCACCCUCCCCAAGUACUUCCGGCUCCAACAGGAAACGCAUGGCUCUCUGAAAUGUUCUAGUGCUUGACGUGACUGGUGGUUACAAAGGUGUUCAUUUUUUAGUAUUGCAUUAAGCCAUUUUACUUUCUGUAUGCAUGCCAUUUUUCACAAUAAAACAAGUGGGUGUUUAGAAACUUAUAGC
This is a non-coding RNA of Kogia breviceps (pygmy sperm whale), 496 nucleotides long. Lineage: Eukaryota; Metazoa; Chordata; Mammalia; Artiodactyla; Physeteridae. The record is from RefSeq and is a predicted model, not a curated record.